This 928-nucleotide long non-coding RNA is filed under the name Marmota monax (woodchuck). Lineage: Eukaryota; Metazoa; Chordata; Mammalia; Rodentia; Sciuridae. The record is from RNAcentral.
CUUUGGGAUAUAUAUUUGUACCUGGCAAGUAGAGACCCCCUCUCUCUGCUUUCUGAUCACCAUAUGAGUUGCUUCCCUCUGCCACACUCUUUCGCCAGGAUGUUCUGCCUCACCUUGAGCCCCAAGGAAUGGAGCCAACCUUCUAUGGACUAAAACCUCUGAAACUGUGAACCCUAAAUAAACCUUUCCUCCUUUACAGUUGUUCUAGUUGGGUCCUUUAGUCACAGCAGAAAAAAAAACUGACUAAAACACAUAUGUAUUGAUAGAAACUUAUGCAUGCACAGAAGUUUUUCAGGAUAACAUCCAUAUUUAUUGAGAAGAGUCUACUCCUGCCACCUUUCUAAGUCUUCUUUCUAAGUCUUCUAAGUCUUCUUGUUAGGAAUCCUUCCAAGUCAGCCAGUUCAAAUUCAUUCUUUUUUGACAGCAGUAUAGACAUAUAGGAUAAAGAAAUGCCAGUUUUAAAGCAACAGCUGGAGCAGGGGAUCAUGCUGGACAAUUGUUGGACCUUUAUUUUGUGUCCAGUUUUUUGCUCAAUGAAUAGUGCUACAAAUAACAUCUUUGAGCACAUGCAGAAUAAGGACUUUCAUGUCUCAGAGAUAGAUUCCCAAUAGUAAAACUGCUGUUUGAACCAUAUGUUCAACUUUUAAUAGCUGUCAACAGAUUGAUUCCUCAGAUGUCACCAGCGGAGUACAAGAAUUCUAUCCCUCAUCACCAUCAGGAAGAAUUCAGCCUCUUUAUUUUUUACCAGUGUGGUGGAUGGGGAGUGUUCUUUGCUUCUUUAGAUUGUUGAGCAUCUUUUCAUCUGCUCUUCAUAUUUUUCACUGGUUUUUCUCUUGGGACCUCUAGACUCAUCCUUGUGAAUUUGCAAGCCCAUUUAUCAAUUAGCAAUCUAAUCUUUAUCUAUACAGAAAGCAGCUUGAUUAUAUAC